RNAcentral lists this ribosomal RNA (468 nucleotides) under uncultured bacterium. Its description in RNAcentral is "partial 16S ribosomal RNA". It matches the Rfam family "Bacterial small subunit ribosomal RNA", at positions 28 to 507 of the family's 1533-position model. The record is from RNAcentral.
GACGAACGCUGGCGGCGUGCUUAACACAUGCAAGUCGAACGGAAAGGCCCUGCGCUUGUGGGGUGCUCGUGUGGGGAACGGGGGAGUAACACGCGAGUAAACUGCACUUAUCUGUGGGAUAACUUCAGGAAACAGGGGCGAAUACAGGGGAGGAGAUACUGCAGCGUGGGGGGGGUUGGAGAAUGUCGGCGGUUGGGGCUGGAUUAGCGGCUUAUCAGCUGGUUGGGCGGGUAGGGGCUUACCAGGUCUUUGAAGGGUAGCCGGCCUGAGAGGGUGAACGGCAACAUGGCGACUGCGAGACGGACCAGACGGCUACGGGAGGCAGUAGGCGGGAAUAUUGCAGAAUGGGCGCACGCCUGAUGUAGCAGUGUCGCGAGCGGGAUGCCGUGUUUCGGGGUGUAAACCGCUUUCUCCGUUGAUGAAGCGGGAGUGACGGUAAUGGGUAAAGAAGCACCGGCUAACUACGUG